Anser brachyrhynchus (Pink-footed goose) is the source of this 1666-nucleotide long non-coding RNA. NCBI's taxonomy places the organism in Eukaryota, Metazoa, Chordata, Aves, Anseriformes, Anatidae. The record is from Ensembl.
UGGAGAACUUGGAGCUCUCUCACACAGCUGGGGACAGAGGCUGCCAAGGUCCAGCAGAGCCACAGAAGCAAGCCAGCCCCUGGCUGCUGCGUGGGGUGGCCCAGACGUCUGCCACCACGGUGAGCAUGUGGCUGCUGCAGGCACCCUAGGGCUCCAGCCUAGGGCUGCCCAUGGCCACAAGCUUGCUGCUGCGCUCCCAAAUGUCCCUCUGCCCACAGAGAGGCAAGGGGUGGGAAGCAGCAUCCUGCCUUUGAUGAAACUGAGCAACUGGGAGAAACAUUCAUCCUCAAAUUCCCAAGCACCAGAAGGCCAUGCAGCAUGCACACCCCCACACCUCUCCUCUGCCUUAUCCCAGACACCGUGUGCCGGCACACAGCGGUCACCAGUCCCCAUCUGGGAAACCCACAGAGCCAAGCAACUCCGUGCAGGACUGCACUCUGAUUUGGGGCUGGGGAAGGAUGAAUUAGAAUGGUUAUUUUCAGCAGAAAGGGGGUUACAGUAAGGGAACACUUAGAAAUGGAUCUCCGCAGUAACCCAGUUUGAAAUCUUGAAUUUCAAAGGGGAAGGAGAUGGAAUGACGCAUAAAAACCUCAACAGUUUUCCUCUCUGCUCAGUGACCUCUCUUUAGUGAGCUAGGUCCCUGUUUUUGUCAUCAACCCAGACAUCAUGUCACCUCGCAGUCAACCUUGCAGUACACAAGGUAGAUGGACGUAGAUGAGUGCCCAUCUUCAGCCAGAGCACAGUGAAGAAGUCCACAGGACGAGGUGUGUCCAGGACAAGCAUUUCAGUAAGGGAAACUUAUUGUUUUAAUAUUGCUGUCCUCCAUUUCUCCGUCACUAAAGGGAUCUUCCACCACUAAAUCAACAUGACUCAGCCUGCUGCAGGAACAGACAAAAAACCAGGACAAACACAGGCUUUCUAAAAACAAAAUGGAGCCAAAGAUGUCCUCUGAAAUACCAAAUUUUACAACAGCACCAAGCUACUCCAAGAGGCCAACAAAUGAGGCGGGUAGCAGGAGAAGCUUGCAAUUUGUAUCAAUAUGGCAAGUCUGGGUGAAAAUCAUCCCAGUAGCCAUAUCAAGGGGGUGACCAGCCCCAAAGACUGCCUCAGAGCAGGCAAUCAGGUUCCUUCAGCCCAGCAUCUUUAUCAUCAAACUGGCCACACAGGAGGGUAGGAAGGUGUGAGGACAAGCAUUUGCUUUGUGCUUUGCCCCUUUCUCUGUGCCCAAGACCACAAGGAUAAGACCGUCACCUAUCUCAGUGUCCACUGGCAAUUUCUUACCACCAGAGAAGGGAAAAUCGGCCUCCUCAACACCCUGUCAUACGGUUGGCCCAAAUAUAGGGCCCAAGAGAGGACAGAAAUAGCAUUUGCAGCCUUUCCCCACUGCCUGGCUGUGUGGGAGUCGCUUGGUGUGUCCCUAUCCACAAGCAGCCUGCUCAGCUCCCGCAGGUACCUGGAAGUGCUUUAUCUAUUUCUCAUAAUGGGGAAGGAGAGCAAUCUCUGAUAGUAUGUAAUGCAUACAAAAAAAAAAAAAGGUAAAAAUAUGAUUCAGAGGGUUUACAACUUAAUUAAACAUUUUAAUUCUUUAUACACACUGUAAAACUGAAAAUCCAGGGUAGGUCCAAUUGAAAACAAAGCAAAACAAAUAAAUGUGAACUGUUUCACA